Pongo pygmaeus (Bornean orangutan) is the source of this 937-nucleotide non-coding RNA. Lineage: Eukaryota; Metazoa; Chordata; Mammalia; Primates; Hominidae. The record is from the annotation of a RefSeq genome assembly.
UUGGGACUGCCAGGAGAGCACCAGCCUACUGCAGGGUCACCCCCUGGUUGAAGCCAUGCCAAAGACCUGUCCCCUCUUCUUCCUCACCAUCUUCUGUGCAGGGGUCUCAUUGGAUAUAAUUUUGGAACCAGAUACCAAAGCACUAACUGUUCUCAUUGGGGAGGCUGCUACCCUCCAUUGCAGCGUAACAGGAGGGGACCUGAAGAACUAUCAAAUGAGCUGGUAUAAGAAGAAUGAAGAUAACUCUCUGAUUUUGGUCUCCAAACUAAGCAACAAUUCUAAUGACAAUUUAGGGAAUAAUUUCAAGGUGAAAACUGAUACUUUAAAAAGUCAAUUUAUGCUUGACAUUCAGAAAGCAACAACACAAGAUGUUGGGACUUACUACUGUGCGUCUGAUAUCCACAGUGCUGCAGCUCCGUUUCUGACCGCUUCAGAAACCCUAGGGCCAAACUGAGCUGGCAGAUCCAAUUCGAGACCACCCCGGCCUAAAAUGUGCACCACACCUGAGAUGAGGCUGCCUGAUCACUUCAACAGUAAUAUCUGAUAAAAGAGGCCAGGAGUUGAAAGUGGGGGCAAGGGGCUUAUCUUUGCAGUUGGUUUAGAGGGGCCUUCUUUAUCAGUUGAAGAGGGCAGGAAAGGCUGUUAGGAUUUUUGUGGAGAGAUGUCGGGGGUUGAGGGUGGGGUGCUGAACCUGUCUCUCACAGGCUCCUGAGGAAAGGUUGAAAAUAACAGCUUUUAAUACUGAAUAGGCCCUCUCAUUGUGGAGGCAGGCUGAGAUAAAUAGAACCUUUACUAUCACGAGUGCUGUAGCUCAUUGCAGUCUUUAUUGUGAAAGUGUUCAUGUGCAUAAGCCAGAUAAAGCAAGGAUGGUUUUCCAUUACCAUCCUAAUCAAAAUUUCCAAAGCUAUUAGAGAUAGCUUUAAUUCUUACUCUGUGA